GACGAACGCUGGCGGCGUGCCUAAUACAUGCAAGUCGAACGCACUCUCGUUUAGAUUGAAGGAGCUUGCUCCUGAUUGAUAAACAUUUGAGUGAGUGGCGGACGGGUGAGUAACACGUGGGUAACCUGCCCUAAAGUGGGGGAUAACAUUUGGAAACAGAUGCUAAUACCGCAUAAAACCUAACACCGCAUGGUGUAGGGUUGAAAGAUGGUUUCGGCUAUCACUUUAGGAUGGACCCGCGGUGCAUUAGUUAGUUGGUGAGGUAAAGGCUCACCAAGACCGUGAUGCAUAGCCGACCUGAGAGGGUAAUCGGCCACACUGGGACUGAGACACGGCCCAGACUCCUACGGGAGGCAGCAGUAGGGAAUCUUCCACAAUGGACGAAAGUCUGAUGGAGCAACGCCGCAUGAGUGAAGAAGGUUUUCGGAUCGUAAAACUCUGUUGUUGGAGAAGAAUGUAUCUGAUAGU
This 468-nucleotide ribosomal RNA is filed under the name uncultured bacterium. RNAcentral describes it as "bacterial SSU rRNA". It matches the Rfam family "Bacterial small subunit ribosomal RNA", at positions 28 to 462 of the family's 1533-position model. The record is from RNAcentral.